Molecule: long non-coding RNA, 744 nt
Organism: Bactrocera tryoni
Lineage: Eukaryota; Metazoa; Arthropoda; Insecta; Diptera; Tephritidae
Exons: 3
Source: RefSeq, a predicted model, not a curated record
GUAAUGAAAACUAUCCAGCUCUGAAAAUAUUUGACGCACUAACCGCUUGGGAAAGCAGAGGAUGAGGAAGACCUCCACUCCGUUGGAAAUGACAGUUUCCCACCUAAAGAAGAUUUUCCGAAGUAAUAAGCCUCACUACAACAACUGUGAACAUUAACAACAUCAAAGUAUUUUUCACACAACAAAACCAUGUAACACUGUUUACUACCAAUCAAAUUCCUCUCAUUCUCUCUAAAAAAUUAUAUAUACAUAUUUUUACUUCAUCACUCUCCCAGUCUCUAAAUAACGCACACUCUCUCUGGUUAACAUUGACUCGUGCUACUACUACUCAGCACUACUCUCACACCAGUAUACGCUCUCCGCUCUUUCUCUCAGUUAUCCUUUGCGCUUGUUAGCCGGAACUAAAGCUUUUACAUAAUCUGCGAAGCAUGAUGACGUCAAAUAGCUCCAAAAUAUUUCAUGCGCAUCAUCACGACACUCAUUCCGCAAUCUGUGUGGCCUUCCGCGACUGUUUGGUUUGGCUGCUUCGUGUUCAUACCGUUGCCGUUAUUGUUAUUGUUAUUGUUGUUGCUCGGUAGAGUCCUUGUACGAAGGGUAACGAAUGGUUUGUUUUUGUUGCCGCUGAAUUUUCCUCAAUGUUGUGACGUCAGACGAAUUUAGAUACGUCAAAUGGCGCUGACUUACGUCGUUGUUGUUUGCCAACGUUGGCAAUAUUCUACAGCAACGCCUAUGAGCAGCGCACUC